GUUAAUAGUGAGCUAGGAGCUCCCCCCAAGGAAGAGUUGGCUGGCCUGCCUGUGUUACCUGAAUGGCAUCGACCAUACCCUGCACGGAACUUGGGGAAUCUCGUCCCACCAGAAGUUUUGCCACUGCUCUUGAGAAUGCUCAGCAUCAAUCCAGCUAACAGGAUUUCUGCUCAAGAGUGCCUGGAUGAUCUGUUCUUUUUCCCACAAGAAUAGGAGCAUCAACCUUGAUAGGAGGAAGCUAUAUAUGAUCUCCGAGUUACACAGAGUUCAGUGUCUUUCAAAAGUGGCUUGUUGUCUCCCAGUAAAUUUAGUUCUCUGCUAUAAAAAUCUAAGACAUUUGUCAUGUUAGACUAUUUUGUUGCGGUACUAAUUAUCUGUGUAGUUCUGUUAGUUUUAGUCAUGGAUGAGAGUUCGAGUUAUGGAUGAUGCAUUUUUCCCACUGCUAUUCGUCUAGUUGAGAUUAGUUAUAAACACCUCUGGAAUGAGAUUAGUUACGUAGUUUGUCCGUUUACUUUGAUGACAAGGCUAGCAACUUUGGUUUGCAAUGCAG
Long non-coding RNA from Rosa chinensis, 550 nucleotides. RefSeq lists it as uncharacterized. NCBI's taxonomy places the organism in Eukaryota, Viridiplantae, Streptophyta, Magnoliopsida, Rosales, Rosaceae. The transcript has 3 exons. The record is from RefSeq and is a predicted model, not a curated record.